Molecule: ribosomal RNA, 722 nt
Filed under: uncultured bacterium
Lineage: Bacteria
Description: bacterial SSU rRNA
Rfam family: Bacterial small subunit ribosomal RNA
Source: RNAcentral
CAGGGGGAUAAGCGGAAGAAAUUCCGUCUAAUACCGCAUAACACCAUUUGGAGACAUCUCCAGGUGGUCAAAGGAGGCGACUCCGGCAUAGGAUGGCCAUGCGUCGCAUUAGCUAGUCGGCGGGGUAACGGCCCACCGAGGCGACGAUGCGUAGGGGUUCUGAGAGGAAGGUCCCCCACACUGGUACUGAGACACGGACCAGACUCCUACGGGAGGCAGCAGUGAGGAAUAUUGGUCAAUGGGCGCAAGCCUGAACCAGCCAAGUCGCGUGAGGGAAGACGGUCCUAUGGAUUGUAAACCUCUUUUGUCGGGGAGCAAAGCGCGGUACGAGUACCGCGAAGGAGAGUACCCGAAGAAAAAGCAUCGGCUAACUCCGUGCCAGCAGCCGCGGUAAUACGGAGGAUGCGAGCGUUAUCCGGAUUUAUUGGGUUUAAAGGGUGCGUAGGCGGAUUUGUAAGUCAGCGGUAAAAAUGCGGUGCUCAACGCCGUAUCGCCGUUGAAACUGCAGGUCUUGAGUGAGCGAGAAGUAUGCGGAAUGCGUGGUGUAGCGGUGAAAUGCAUAGAUAUCACGCAGAACUCCGAUUGUGAAGGCAGCACACCGGCGCUCAACUGACGCUGAGGCACGAAAGCGUGGGGAUCGAACAGGAUUAGAUACCCUGGUAGUCCACGCAGUAAACGAUGAAUGAUAGCUGUCCGGUCCGCUUAAGGGCUGGGUGGUACAG